RNAcentral lists this long non-coding RNA (1018 nucleotides) under Solanum lycopersicum (tomato). RNAcentral's name for it is "partial TCONS_00137766". The record is from RNAcentral. Lineage: Eukaryota; Viridiplantae; Streptophyta; Magnoliopsida; Solanales; Solanaceae.
GCUUCUUCUAUAUAAAAGUUGUUUAACUAAUUGGUCAAACGCCUUGAUUUGAGAAAAAAGUACUUUUUUCUCAAAAAAAAAGCCUCCCAAUCACUAGGCCAACCAGGGUCUUCUAUGUUAUGGCUAUAGGCAAAAUAUUGAGGCAACCCAUGUUGUGGUGUCCGACAUGCCUUAAUAUCUGCUCUAUUUUUAGGCAUUUGCACUUAUAGAUCCCGGAUCUACACAUGCAUGUCUCUCUACUUUGCAUCUUAUUUAGAGAGGGAUCUCAAAUUCUUAGAUUAGUCUUUAGUUGCGACUCAAAUAGGGGAGUCUAUAGUCGUAGAUUAGGUUUACCAGGAUUGUGCAGUCUCGGGGUAGGGAAGGACCACGAUCCAUUUCAUUGUAUAAAAAAAUGAUUAAUUUUGAUGAUAUCAUGAGCAUGGAUUGACUAGCAUCAUGUCCUACUACACUUAAUUAUCACGUCAAAAUUGUAAGUUUGUAAUUCCAAUGGAAGUGUGUCAAGAGUAAGAAGGCAAGACAACUACAAUUAACAACAAGAGGAUAUCUUUCAUGAUGGGUAAGAAAGGGCUGUUUGGGCUUCAUUAUUGUAGUUCUGGACACCCAAGCGGAGGGAAUUAUGCUUGACAGUGCCAGUAAUAAGUGAGUAUCCAGAAUGUUUGGAUGGUUAUGCUUGACUGUGCCAGUAAUAAGUGAGUAUCCAGAGUGUUUGGAUGGCUUACCGGGCUACCUUCGAUGUGAGAAUUUUUUGAGUUAUGUGUGGACAUUUACCCAAGAUAAGGGUCUAUUUCAAUUCCAUAUAUCAUAUGGCACCAACAGAGUUGAAACAGCUAAGGGGCUGUUUGGUAGCUGGUUAAGGUUCAAGCUAAUACAUAAAUAACUUGGUCAUUCAGGCACCAGUAACUGGAUUAAAGUCCCAGGACUAUGCUAGUAAUGCAAUCAAACAAGAGCAAGUUGCUUAGGAAGAAAGGAGAAUAAGAUAUACAACAUAAGUAGAAGAAAAUCAUAUUAAAUUGUGUGC